Non-coding RNA from Homo sapiens (human), 146 nucleotides. It matches the Rfam family "Metazoan signal recognition particle RNA". Rfam says of the family: The signal recognition particle (SRP) is a universally conserved ribonucleoprotein. It is involved in the co-translational targeting of proteins to membranes. Lineage: Eukaryota; Metazoa; Chordata; Mammalia; Primates; Hominidae. The record is from Rfam.
GCCGGGUAUUGUGGUGUGUGCCUGUAGUCCCAGCUACUCGGGAGGCUGAGGUGGGAGGAUGGCUUGAACCUAGGAGGUGGAAGUUGCAGUGAGCUGAUUGAGCCACUGCACUCCGGCCUGGGUGACAAAGCCAGACCCUGUCUCAA